This is a long non-coding RNA of Haliotis rubra (blacklip abalone), 139 nucleotides long. RefSeq lists it as uncharacterized. The record is from RefSeq and is a predicted model, not a curated record. The transcript has 2 exons. NCBI's taxonomy places the organism in Eukaryota, Metazoa, Mollusca, Gastropoda, Lepetellida, Haliotidae.
UAUGAUAGGAGAUACCUGAAUAAUCCCGACUGGCUCAAAAUGGGCUGUGUUUAGAUGGUAUUCAGACCAGACAUCAGGCAAAUAUCAGUGUCGGAGCCCCAGUUUAUUCAGGAGUCGUCUGGUAUGCCUCAGUGUAUGA